This 321-nucleotide RNase P RNA is filed under the name bovine gut metagenome. Its description in RNAcentral is "Bacterial RNase P class A". It matches the Rfam family "Bacterial RNase P class A". From Rfam's summary of the family: Ribonuclease P (RNase P) is a ubiquitous endoribonuclease, found in archaea, bacteria and eukarya as well as chloroplasts and mitochondria. The record is from RNAcentral.
UGGACAGGUGGUCGCUGGGCAGUUAUGAUGGCUGCCGAGAGGAAAGUCCGAGCUUCGAGAGCAGGGUGCUGGCUAACUACCAGUGGAGGCGACUCUAAGGAAAGUGCAACAGAAAAUUACCGCACGUAAGUGUAAGGUUGAAAAGGCGAGGUAAGAGCUCACCGCAUACCAGGUGACUGGCGUGGCAAUGUAAACCCCACCUGAAGCAAGAUUAAGUAUGGUCUAGGCUGCUCGCUGACCAUCAAAAAUAUCGCUUGACCAUAUUGGCAACAAUAUGGCUAGAUAGAUGACCGCCAAAUACAGAACUCGGCUUAUAGUCCA